RNAcentral lists this long non-coding RNA (244 nucleotides) under Manihot esculenta (cassava). RNAcentral's name for it is "long non-coding RNA (MESC_LNC000003)". The record is from RNAcentral. Lineage: Eukaryota; Viridiplantae; Streptophyta; Magnoliopsida; Malpighiales; Euphorbiaceae.
UAAUCCUAAUAGGAGUCUAAAAUUCUAAUAGUCAAGGGAGGCUAUUUACAAUAGAAAUAAAAUCUUAAUAUGCAAAAAUAAUCAUAAUCCUAAUAGGAGUCUAACUGUUCCAUAUCAUUCCCUUCCACUUGUAAAGAACUCGACCUCGAGUUGUCUUCAGCAGGAUAGUACUGAAAUAGAUCCGCCACGUUAAACGUCUUGGAAAUUUUCAUCUCAUGUGGAAGGUCAAGAUUAUAGGCAUUAU